AGAUAGGAUAAGGGCUAGUGUUUAUUGCAAUUCCAUUUUAAAUUUUAAUUUAAUUCAAACUUUUUCUCACCUUUAUCUGACUAAAAGAGGGACCUACCAGAGGAUUUUAGACAUGGAAAACAAAUGGGAGCUCCUCCUUUUUGUCGCACAAAACAGGCUCCUUCAUAAGGCACCGACGAGUGGGAUGAUAGGGAUAGGUUUCUGAGUUUAAAUUCAGACCUUUUGAAUUCAAUUUAAAAUAAACCUAAUCCACUCCAAAGAGCAUGAUAAAAAAGGGUUUAGCUUCAAUUUUUCUCACGCACAAACUAAUUUUGUGCGAUGAGAAAAGGGUGAGUCUUUUUGGGUGGCGCAAAGGAGAGAGUCCUAUUCAUUUGGGACUCUAAGAUUGUUGGGUGGAUGUCUGGCUAGGACAUCACCUCCCAAGACCUUUUUAAUACCGCACGAUGCAGCAGGAAAAAAGAAGAAAUAAAAUAAAAAUAAUCAAUUACGUAAAUCAGUCAAAAAGAGCUCACCUCCACGGGGUAUGUAAAGUUCACUAUGAGAAAAAGAAAUAUUACAAGAGAAGAUCUCACCCUCAACCCUUAUACACCCAAUUUCUCCCUCACAGGAAGUUCUCCCUCACAAAAACUCUCUAUCUAAGAAGACCCCCUGAACCCC
Molecule: long non-coding RNA, 657 nt
Filed under: Elaeis guineensis (African oil palm)
Lineage: Eukaryota; Viridiplantae; Streptophyta; Magnoliopsida; Arecales; Arecaceae
Description: long non-coding RNA (EGUI_LNC054320)
Source: RNAcentral